This 476-nucleotide ribosomal RNA is filed under the name uncultured bacterium. RNAcentral describes it as "partial 16S ribosomal RNA". It matches the Rfam family "Bacterial small subunit ribosomal RNA", at positions 28 to 523 of the family's 1533-position model. The record is from RNAcentral.
GACGAACGCUGGCGGCGUGCUUAACACAUGCAAGUCGAACGGUAAGGCCUUCGGGUACACGAGUGGCGAACGGGUGAGUAACACGUGGGUGAUCUGCCCUGCACUUUGGGAUAAGCCUGGGAAACUGGGUCUAAUACCGAAUAGGACUACGGCCUGCAUGGGUUGUGGUGGAAAGCUUUUGCGGUGUGGGAUGGGCCCGCGGCCUAUCAGCUUGUUGGUGAGGUCACGGCUCACCAAGGCGACGACGGGUAGCCGGCCUGAGAGGGUGACCGGCCACACUGGGACUGAGAUAGGGCCCCGACUCCUACGGGAGGCAGCAGUGGGGAAUAUUGGACAAUGGGCGCAAGCCUGAUGCAGCGACGCCGCGUGAGGGAUGACGGCCUUCGGGUUGUAAACCUCUUUCAGUAGGGACGAAGCGCAAGUGACGGUACCUAUAGAAGAAGGACCGGCCAACUACGUGCCAGCCGCCGCAGUAA